AAAUUGAAGAGUUUGAUCAUGGCUCAGAUUGAACGCUGGCGGCAGGCCUAACACAUGCAAGUCGAACGGUAACAGGAAGCAGCUUGCUGCUUCGCUGACGAGUGGCGGACGGGUGAGUAAUGUCUGGGAAACUGCCUGAUGGAGGGGGAUAACUACUGGAAACGGUGGCUAAUACCGCAUAACGUCGCAAGACCAAAGAGGGGGACCUUCGGGCCUCUUGCCAUCAGAUGUGCCCAGAUGGGAUUAGCUUGUUGGUGAGGUAACGGCUCACCAAGGCGACGAUCCCUAGCUGGUCUGAGAGGAUGACCAGCCACACUGGAACUGAGACACGGUCCAGACUCCUACGGGAGGCAGCAGUGGGGAAUAUUGCACAAUGGGCGCAAGCCUGAUGCAGCCAUGCCGCGUGUAUGAAGAAGGCCUUCGGGUUGUAAAGUACUUUCAGCGGGGAGGAAGGUGUUGUGGUUAAUAACCACAGCAAUUGACGUUACCCGCAGAAGAAGCACCGGCUAACUCCGUGCCAGCAGCCGCGGUAAUACGGAGGGUGCAAGCGUUAAUCGGAAUUACUGGGCGUAAAGCGCACGCAGGCGGUCUGUCAAGUCGGAUGUGAAAUCCCCGGGCUCAACCUGGGAACUGCAUUCGAAACUGGCAGGCUUGAGUCUUGUAGAGGGGGGUAGAAUUCCAGGUGUAGCGGUGAAAUGCGUAGAGAUCUGGAGGAAUACCGGUGGCGAAGGCGGCCCCCUGGACAAAGACUGACGCUCAGGUGCGAAAGCGUGGGGAGCAAACAGGAUUAGAUACCCUGGUAGUCCACGCCGUAAACGAUGUCUACUUGGAGGUUGUGCCCUUGAGGCGUGGCUUCCGGAGCUAACGCGUUAAGUAGACCGCCUGGGGAGUACGGCCGCAAGGUUAAAACUCAAAUGAAUUGACGGGGGCCCGCACAAGCGGUGGAGCAUGUGGUUUAAUUCGAUGCAACGCGAAGAACCUUACCUGGUCUUGACAUCCACAGAACUUUCCAGAGAUGGAUUGGUGCCUUCGGGAACUGUGAGACAGGUGCUGCAUGGCUGUCGUCAGCUCGUGUUGUGAAAUGUUGGGUUAAGUCCCGCAACGAGCGCAACCCUUAUCCUUUGUUGCCAGCGAUUAGGUCGGGAACUCAAAGGAGACUGCCAGUGAUAAACUGGAGGAAGGUGGGGAUGACGUCAAGUCAUCAUGGCCCUUACGACCAGGGCUACACACGUGCUACAAUGGCGCAUACAAAGAGAAGCGACCUCGCGAGAGCAAGCGGACCUCAUAAAGUGCGUCGUAGUCCGGAUUGGAGUCUGCAACUCGACUCCAUGAAGUCGGAAUCGCUAGUAAUCGUGGAUCAGAAUGCCACGGUGAAUACGUUCCCGGGCCUUGUACACACCGCCCGUCACACCAUGGGAGUGGGUUGCAAAAGAAGUAGGUAGCUUAACCUUCGGGAGGGCGCUUACCACUUUGUGAUUCAUGACUGGGGUGAAGUCGUAACAAGGUAACCGUAGGGGAACCUGCGGUUGGAUCACCUCCUUACCUGAAAGAAGC
Molecule: ribosomal RNA, 1554 nt
Filed under: Salmonella enterica subsp. enterica serovar Brancaster
Lineage: Bacteria; Pseudomonadati; Pseudomonadota; Gammaproteobacteria; Enterobacterales; Enterobacteriaceae
Description: bacterial SSU rRNA
Rfam family: Bacterial small subunit ribosomal RNA
Source: RNAcentral